CCAACCCCUCUCUCAUCCGCCUCUCUCUGCGCCUCUCCUCUCCCUCUCCCUGCAUCGCUCCUCUAUCUGUGCCUCUCCCUCUCUCUCUACGCCUCUCCCUCUCAAAAAGGAUGGAUGGAGUAGAUUUCAGACAAACAUAUCGGUGGGCCCACCCAGCAUCCUUGCGCAGGAACUUCCUCCUCUCUCUUCCUCUCUAUCUUUCUUCCUGCUCUCUCUCUCUCUAGCAGUCUCCCUAACCUUUCUUGUGUGUCUUUGAUCCACGAACGCCCUGCCCACGCACGCCCUUACUCUCUCUCUCUCUGAAGCUCGGUUGAAGACUAUUUGUCGAACGUGAGGACACAUGGCGAAAAUCUGGUGACUCGCCUAAUGGAAAGGGUGGAUCUGGCAGCAUGUGUCAACCGACUGCCAGACAAUUCCUGGAGCAACUGUAUACUAUGUCCAAAAUAUGUGAGAUCUGUUCUAGAUUCAAUGGGAUGUAUCAGGUGAUAUACUAGAAGAAUCUUCAACUAGAACAAUGUCUCUAAGUUUAAAGACAUUGUUUGAGCAGCUUGCAGUGGAAGUUGAGCCUAGUACCUCAGAAGCAUUGGAUCAAGAGAGAGAAGAAGUGUUCCCAGAUAUACCAAAUGAAGUUACCCAAGCAAGGUCAGCCUAAGCGACAACUUCUUACAACUGGAUGGAGUGUGUUUGUAAGUGCAAAGAGGCUUGUUGCAAGAAAGAAAAGAAUCAGUUACUCCUGGGAAUCCGGUGUGCUAAUCGGCCACAAACAGUCAUGUCAGUUUUAUCAAGUGAUAGCAUGCACAUAGGGCUCCUUGCUGCAGCAGCUCAUGCAGCCACCACAAAUAGUCAUUUCACUAUUUUUUAUAACCCAAGGGCAAGCCCAUCUAAAUUUGUCACACCUCUAGCCAAAUAUGCUAAAGCAGUCUACCACACUCGUGUUUUAGUUGGCAUGCGCUUUCAGAUGCUAUUUGAGAUAGAAGAGUCAAGUGUGCGUCGAUUGUGAUCCCUAUCUACCAUUUUUACUAGAUGCUUGCAAUGAUGAGAGCCCUGAUGUUUGACAGGUCUGCACUUGGACCAUUGAGUUUUCUGGGAUCAUAUAUAAGCUAAAUUUUUUAUUUUUAGGCUGUUGUUUAUGGAAUUAGAGUUUGUGCAGAGUUUGGUGGAUCUGUGUUUAAACCUCUUGUGGGAGAGGCUCUUUCCAGGCUAAAUUUUGUUAUAAGGUAGCAUAAUGUGAUGGCAUAUGACAAUGUUGUCUCAGCUUUGGGGAAAAUUUGCCAAUUCCAUCGUGACAGUAUAGAUGCAGCUCAGUGAGAUGAUAGGAGUUGGCCAUGAAUACAUGGAAGAGUUCUUCGGUUGUUGCGAAUCCGUUUUGGCUGAAGAUGGUUUGUUUGUCCUACAGGUUACAUACUAUCUAUUAUAAUUUUUCUUAAUUAUGGUUUGAUUUGAAUUAUCUGAAAAGAAAGGUGUACCUGUAGUAGUCCAAUCAAAUCGCCCCACUUACCAUUUUCUCCUUAUUGAAUUGAAUUGUUACCAAUUUUGUGAAUGGGAUUCUUAUUAAAUAAUCAUUUGAAUUAUUUUUUGAAUGACUAUCAGGUGUAAUACCAUUUUGUGAAUAUGAAUUAUUUUUUGAAUGACUAUCAGGUGUAAAAGAAAGGUUACCAAUUUUGUGAAUGUGAAUUAUUUUUUCCUUAUUUUUUUAGUUCCAAAGUUAUUUGGGUUUUUUUUUUUUUUUUUUUUUGUCUAAUACCAUCCCUUGCACUUGCAUUAAGCACUUCUGCGGGCAUUUUCAAGUUUUGUAUCUUUUACAGCAUACAUGGCCGACUCCAAUGGAGAUGGUUAUAGCAAAACUGAAGAUGUUAAUGCAACUGACAAUCAUGGUUUUUUUUCCCCUCUACCACAACUUGACAGUCAUUGAAAUCAACUGAUUCAGGAAGGGCUCAAAAGAAGGUUGAACAAGAGCAAAUACUAAGCAGCCAAUGCAAGGCAAGGCAUAGCCAACAGUUGAAGUUUCGGGUAAUUUCUUUUGUAUGGGUCCUAGUUUAGGAGGGGGAAGUGUUUAGUUAGGAGGGUUAAGGUGAAUUUGAGUGGGCCACUUGGGUCAUUUCCUCUUUUAUUGAAUUAAGUUGUUACCAAUUUUGUGAAUAGGAUUCUUAUCAAACAAUAGUGUGAAUUAUUUUUUGAAUGACUAUCAGGUGCAAGAUUAAAAUAAUAAUAAUAAUUUAUUGAUAUUUUUUUAU
Molecule: RNA transcript, 2234 nt
Organism: Magnolia sinica
Lineage: Eukaryota; Viridiplantae; Streptophyta; Magnoliopsida; Magnoliales; Magnoliaceae
Gene name: auxin response factor 12-like
Exons: 11
Source: RefSeq, a predicted model, not a curated record